UCUUUUUGUUCCAGGUUCCCUCUGUUGUGCUUCAAUGCUCCUCUACAAGGCCAGGCUUUUUCCUUGUAGCCCAGUCUUUCAUUUUGCUCUCUCAGGCUGCAGUCUCCCAAGCUAUCGUCAGGAAGGAGAAAGAAGGGCAGUGACAAAAGCUGCUGUAAAAUGUUCCUGUCUGUUGUAUUUCAGCAGACAGUAAUGCUGUUUCCUUUGGAAAGAUGAGCAGAAAGUUACUGGUUUAUGCAGCAUUGGCCUCAAGACACAAUCCAGGAUGUGAUAUACUUAGAAGUCACAAGGAAUUUUACAAAUAAAUUUGGAGCUCAUUCUGGUAGCUAUCCAGCUUCUGAGUGCUUAAGUUUUCAGCUCCGAGGGCCUGUUCAGUGCUCCCUGGGCUGCUUCAUCCGAGAUGAGUGAAGCUGUUGCGUCCACGGCUGAGAAUUAGGACACAGAGAGUGCCCACACUGCUGAGCUCUCUGAACUGCUGCAAUGGAAAAUCUGGGGGUCCAUCCUUCCAGGGACCACAGGAUGUGUCCUCGGAGAUGAAUUGAAAUGCAAGGUGUGACUACCUUCUGUACUGACAGGUUUCUGCAAUUGUUUAUCAAGUGCCGGACUCGAGCUGCAGUUAGAAUUUAUUAGCUGAUAACUGUCCAAUUACUGGAAUAUAGCUAAUGAAGGAGAGAAAUGGCUCUGUUGCUAUCACUUCAUGUAAUUACACAACUUCCUGGUGCCUGUUGCUUUCCCCAAAUGGCUGUACAGCUGACAAAGACAUACUUUGUUGCUUGUAGCAGGAAUUAUUCCCUUGGACAAUAUUUUGAAGGAACAAAUACACCACAGAAUUACUGAAUUUUCAGCACAUUGAGACUGAACAAUGGCCAUUGCCAAGCACUCUCCUGAGUAUUACAGAGGAUAAACCAAGAAGAGAACAAGAAUCUGAGUGUUAUAAAUAUGAAGUAGCAGUUUAAUAUAGUGAGCACUUAGCACUUG
This is a non-coding RNA of Lonchura striata (white-rumped munia), 978 nucleotides long. The record is from RefSeq and is a predicted model, not a curated record. NCBI's taxonomy places the organism in Eukaryota, Metazoa, Chordata, Aves, Passeriformes, Estrildidae.